AAGUCAUGUUGAAGGCAAGUUUGUAAAAUUCCCUUCUAACUCUCCCAUGCGUCGUAUAACGACUCCCCAUCAUUUUGUUGGAAAUUUGCAAUGUUCUUCAUUAAUUU
Small nucleolar RNA from Lactuca sativa (garden lettuce), 107 nucleotides. NCBI's taxonomy places the organism in Eukaryota, Viridiplantae, Streptophyta, Magnoliopsida, Asterales, Asteraceae. The record is from RefSeq and is a predicted model, not a curated record.